CCCUGUUCAGCUGCAGGCACAAUAAAAUCCAAGGUGGCUUGGAGCUACCUUUCCAACUCAGGUGCAGAGAAAGCACAAAUAGGAGCUCAGUUCACAUAUAGAACAUUUAUUACACAUAUAAGACAUUUAUUUCACUGUUUUGCAUCCCCUGUAGCCCCCACCCCACUUACAUUAAGCACUUACACAUGCUGCUGGAAGCCAGGGCAGCUGUACUCAUCUAUCAAAGCCUGUCAGCUUGAGAACAUAGGCUCUUCCCAUUAAUUAAGCAAAUGUAAUGUGAUUAGCUAAGGCUGUAAAUGUUUCACUUAGAAAGCUACAAAACACUGAGCCUCACAGCUCUCAUUUUCACACACUUGUGCAAUCUUGGAUGCUCCUCUGGGGCUGAGAGCUGUUUGAAUUAUAGGAACCUGAAGAAGAAAUUAAUUUCAAUGCUUCUUAAAAAACAAAGCAAAAAAACACCACUUCUGUCUACCUUUUAAAAUGGAUGUAACAAGAUCUGCUGGAAACUAAAAUUUUGAAAUCUGCUGUUUUUUUUCCAUACAAGAAGUUAUCAUCACGGCAGGCAAGGCAAGAGUGAGGAUGUGUGCCUGGUGAACUCCUUUCCUUCAAGACACAAAGCUUUAUGGGCACUGCAUUAAGGCUCCACAAUCGCUAUGUCAUUGUUCACAGAAAUGUCCUGAGGGACACUGAGAGGAAAAUGUUCCUUGAAAGCCCUUUACCUCCCUACCUGCAACUGGCCAGAAAGCUGCUGAAUUUCCCUGCAAUGUAAUGCUGUGGGUUUUUUUUUUUUGUUUCUUUUUUUUUUUUUUUUUGCAAAGCUUCCCUGCUCUGGGCUGGCAGCAGGGAAGGGGUGGCAGUCGGCACAUCAUCCCCCCUGUCAGGAAGAGGUUCUGCCACACCGCCGUAUGCCCUAUGCUUUCUGUGGGCUUGGUAUCUUAAAAGUACACUGCCUGCCCUGGCCUUUCCCCAGGGAGCACUUCUGACAGCCAAGGGGAAGAGGGCUGACGUUACAAUGAUCAUCUCUAGGUGAAUGUGGGACUAGAUGUCAGGUUAGGCCUGCGGUGCUUGAGACCAGGCCGGGUCUCUGUGGAGGCCUGUUUGUACAGACAGGGCCACGAACAGGGCUGGGCUCUUCUCUGGCAGCCGGCCGUCACAGCUGCUGGAAGGGACACAGCAAUGCCACGUCUCGUAGAGCUCCCUCAUGCUGGGAUCAGCAAGAAGCAGGAAGCCAAGUGUUAAAUUGCUUUUUGGCUGAAAGGGAUUGAAAGAGCUCUCCCUGUGGAGACAGUGCCUCAUACAGGCAUGUGUGAGCUGUUGAGUGGAGGAAUUCCCCAUCUCUCAGAGACUAAAAGUGGAGAAAAGGACUGCCAGGCCUACAUGCACUUGCAGAAGAGGAUGCAAUACUGGAGUUUCAUGUUUUGGGCCUUCACCUGUCUAGCCAAGAGUCCAUAGGACUGAUCAGUUACUGCAACACCUCCCAGCAAGUGGCUGCAGUUGUCUCCAGCCCACCAGCAGCCGCAGGUUGUCUUUCCUUAUGCUGUUAGACCCAAGUCCUCAAAGGUGAUUCCAGUGACCGUAAGUUACUGAAACAACUCCAGGAGCCUACAGAUCAGUACCUUUCAAGAACAAACAAGCUAUCCACCUGAUUUCUGAGGGCACAUCAGCACCGAAAGAGAUGCCAGGCAAAGUAAUGGUUUUGUGACAAGCUCUUAGGAACCUGAAUCUAGUGAAAAAUGUGUUA
Anas platyrhynchos (mallard) is the source of this 1741-nucleotide long non-coding RNA. RefSeq lists it as uncharacterized. The record is from RefSeq and is a predicted model, not a curated record. NCBI's taxonomy places the organism in Eukaryota, Metazoa, Chordata, Aves, Anseriformes, Anatidae.